UUGCUGACGAGUGGCGGACGGGUGAGUAAUGCUUGGGAAUCUGGCUUAUGGAGGGGGAUAACGACGGGAAACUGUCGCUAAUACCGCGUAGAAUCGGAAGAUGAAAGUGCGGGACCACAAGGCCGCAUGCCAUGAGAUGAGCCCAAGUGGGAUUAGGAAGUUGGUGGGGUAAAGGCCUACCAAGGCUGCGAUCUCUAGCUGGUCUGAGAGGAUGGCCAGCCACACUGGAACUGAGACACGGUCCAGACUCC
This 251-nucleotide ribosomal RNA is filed under the name uncultured Pasteurellaceae bacterium. Its description in RNAcentral is "partial 16S ribosomal RNA". It matches the Rfam family "Bacterial small subunit ribosomal RNA", at positions 85 to 339 of the family's 1533-position model. Lineage: Bacteria; Pseudomonadati; Pseudomonadota; Gammaproteobacteria; Pasteurellales; Pasteurellaceae. The record is from RNAcentral.